This 242-nucleotide ribosomal RNA is filed under the name uncultured bacterium. RNAcentral's name for it is "partial 16S ribosomal RNA". It matches the Rfam family "Bacterial small subunit ribosomal RNA", at positions 535 to 776 of the family's 1533-position model. The record is from RNAcentral.
CUAGCUUUGCUCGGAAUUACUGGGCGUAAAGCGCACGUAGGCGGCUUUCUACGUCGCGUGUGAAAGCCCCCGGCUCAACUGGGGAGGGUCACGCGAUACUGAUCGACUCGAAGGCAGGAGAGGGAAGUGGAAUUCCCGGUGUAGUGGUGAAAUGCGUAGAUAUCGGGAGGAACACCAGUGGCGAAGGCGACUUCCUGGCCUGUUCUUGACGCUGAGGCGCGAAAGCUAGGGGAGCAAACGGG